UUGCCUACGGGACGCAGCAGUGGGGGAUAUUGCACAAUGGGGGAAACCCUGAUGCAGCGACGCCGCGUGAGUGAAGAAGUAUUUCGGUACGUAAAGCUCUAUCAGCAGGGAAGAAAAAUGACGGUACCUGACUAAGAAGCCCCGGCUAACUACGUGCCAGCAGCCGCGGUAAUACGUAGGGGGCAAGCGUUAUCCGGAUUUACUGGGUGUAAAGGGAGCGUAGACGGAGGAGCACGUCUGAUGUGACAAUCCGUGGCCCAACCCCGGAACUGCAUUGGAAACUGUUUAUCU
This 291-nucleotide ribosomal RNA is filed under the name uncultured bacterium. RNAcentral's name for it is "partial 16S ribosomal RNA". It matches the Rfam family "Bacterial small subunit ribosomal RNA", at positions 335 to 642 of the family's 1533-position model. The record is from RNAcentral.